GAAAUGAACAACCAUGCCCACAGGCAAAGUUGUUUGAAUGAGAAUAAAGAUGGAGAGAAAACACUAAAAUUUUUGUUGAGAUCCCAAACUCCCUUUUUGAGUUCCAUCAAAUUUCUGCUUGUCUAAUAUUGAUUGAAGAUAUCCUUUAAAUAGACUAAUACAAUGAGUCCUAAUCUAAUUGAAACUAAGCUAACUAUCUUUAAUUAUAGUCUGACUAAACUAUUGUAUUAUAACAAAAAUAGAAAUAUAAGAUUAUGUCAAAUAUAGGAUUCUGUCAAUAAC
Long non-coding RNA from Ipomoea nil (Japanese morning glory), 282 nucleotides. RefSeq lists it as uncharacterized. The record is from RefSeq and is a predicted model, not a curated record. The transcript has 4 exons. Lineage: Eukaryota; Viridiplantae; Streptophyta; Magnoliopsida; Solanales; Convolvulaceae.